CAGCAUUACGGAAAGUAUUCAUUUCAUGGAAUUCCAGGAUGUAAAGCAGGAAAUCGUCCCGAAGGUAUUAGUUUUCCUAAAUCGUCUAACGACUAAAUCUUAUGGAAUUGAUGUUGGUGGCUGCUUUGUAAUAACUCCCUCGUCAACGCUUACGAUGAUGGGAAGUUUUAUUACUUACAUACUGGUGGUGAUUCAAACAAAAGAGUAAUAAUGGUCUCCCUUCUUUAUUAUAGUAAAUUCAAUAUGAUAUCGGAUUUAACUGCAUUGCAUUACCAUUAAAUGCAUUCAGACCAAGACUCUGCUGUACAAACUACACAAGAUCAAAUUUUUCUUUGAGCGUAAAGAUGGACGUGACAUUGCAGUGCGUACCGGGUCACCCUACCAUUUAAAACCCGCGAUGAUUCUAUUCUCUUUCCUAUCAUUUGCUCGUUGAU
Octopus bimaculoides (California two-spot octopus) is the source of this 434-nucleotide long non-coding RNA. The record is from RefSeq and is a predicted model, not a curated record. NCBI's taxonomy places the organism in Eukaryota, Metazoa, Mollusca, Cephalopoda, Octopoda, Octopodidae.